AUUGAAUUCCAAAUAAUCGAAUUUGAAUUGGGAAUCAUGUACUCAUAAACCGAUAUGUACAUAGCGACAAUGGAAUUAGAGUGUCACAUGUAAGGAUCGAAAUGCGGUGAAAUAUCAUAUCGAUGUAUCGAAACUUUGGCGGUAUUACAACAUGGAAUUGUCGAAUCCGUAAAUAAAAAGAUUUUGAUUAAAAAUAGAAUAUAAUAUAAUUCUACAACACAAAUUUAUUUACAAAUAGGAGGUGUAAAAAAGAAUAGUUAAUGAGUCUAUCAUACAUGAAAGUCUAAUACUUAAACUAGAUUCAUCUUUAUAAUACCAUAAUUAGAUUCAUUUUUAUAAUAAUGAAAACCUAUAAAAAACAAGUAUAUAGUAAAAUAUGAAAAUAUUUAAGAAAAAUAGUUUUGACUUUUCAACACUAACCAUAACAAAUGAUGACGGGACAUGUGGCAAUGGCUUAAGAGAAAGAAAAAAAAUUAAGAUAUGAAACAUAUUUCCUUCUUCGUUUACCCUCCCUAUAUAUAGAUUAAUAACAACAUCUUAAAUGCUUUUAAUUUAAGUAUCCAUAAUACCUCACUUGAUGCAGAAGCUUAUGUACUGAACAAACAAUAUCAGUCCAACAUAAUUCCAAAAGCUCAUAACUAAACACAAUGAACGUCCAACAUAUGAUUCCAAAAGCUCAUGACUAAACACAAUGAAAGUGGAAAGAUUUAAGAGUAGCAAUUGAAAAUGAUUAUUUACAAACCUUAUUUUAAAAUAUUCCAAAUACCCAAAACAGUAACAUAUCAUUCUUAGAUUUUCAAAAAAAAAUUGGAACAGAAGCAAACAUUAAUGGGACAACAAACGGUUAAUCACCACCGUGCCGUGAGUGAAAUUGAUUCCUACAUAACAAUGAUUCCAGAAUAUCAUCAAAGUAAAAAAACAAUAUUAGACAUCCAACAUAAUGAAAAAGAUCUGAAACGGCAAGAUUAGAAGAUUACCAACAUCAUUGAAUCGUUACCGUUGCCGUAUAGUCGACAAUGUUACCGAGUUGUAUAAGGAGUUGUUGUUACGUUGGUUGCUGCUGUAUCGACAUUGCGAAGCCUUGGUACGAAUUGAAAUGGAAAGCCGGGAGCAAUGAUUUGUGACGGUUUGUUGAUGUUUUCUGCUGCCUUCUUUUUGACUCGAACAUGGCGGCGUGCAGAAGAGCGACGGAAGCACCACUGCAGAUGCUAGCAAAGAAACCUUGAUAUGUGGGAACCCGUUUGUGAGAUUGGUGGAUGGCGAUGGUAGAAGGAGGACGCUUCUGGUGGUGUUCUGGCGGUUAGUGGCAGUGGUAUUCGUGGCCGGAAGUGGUUGUUGUUCGACGGUGUGGAAGAAGAUUAGGGGUGAGAAGACAGAUUAGGUGGUUGUCGAAGUUGUUUGGUUAUGAGUGGUGGUGCAGUUGCGAAUGGAAAUGAGCGGAUUCACUGUGGUGCGGUGAAGGACGAACGACGUGCGUGGUUCUGUUUAUUGUUGUGGCUGUUCACGGUGGAUGGUUGAGCGGCGACAUCACAAAGGUCAUGUGUGGUUUAAAGGAGGAUGAUGGUUGUGCGUUGGGGUUGGAAGUGAGGAAGAAGAAUGUGUGGUCCGUGAGAGAGAUCUCAAGAGAAGCUUUUAUUACUUUUUUUUUCUUUUUUUUAAU
RNAcentral lists this long non-coding RNA (1660 nucleotides) under Lathyrus oleraceus (garden pea). Its description in RNAcentral is "Pisum sativum (pea) long non-coding RNA (PSAT_LNC005298)". Lineage: Eukaryota; Viridiplantae; Streptophyta; Magnoliopsida; Fabales; Fabaceae. The record is from RNAcentral.